UUUCUUUGUUAGGGAUGGCAGGGAGGUUACAAAUAUAUGCCUGUAUCACGAGGAAUUGAGUCAAAUUCAAGAUCUUUUUGUCUCAUUUUAGUGGAAAGAUAUGUUUUAAGAUUAUGAAUUAGUUUGUAGGCGUUGAAAUUUUUGUUUCUAUUGCUUUAUGUGAAGGUGCAGGUGAUGUGGGCAAGUGAUCCAGUGCCGCAAUGGCGAGAAGGAGUGGAGCGGAAGGAAGGAUUGUCA
This 237-nucleotide long non-coding RNA is filed under the name Olea europaea (common olive). RNAcentral describes it as "long non-coding RNA (OEUR_LNC000223)". Lineage: Eukaryota; Viridiplantae; Streptophyta; Magnoliopsida; Lamiales; Oleaceae. The record is from RNAcentral.